UCUGUCUCCUCUGUGUACAUGAAUCAGAACCAAAUCACCUCUGAGGAGGCUCUCUCUUAAAGGGAAGUAACAUGCCAACACAUCCUGCUGAGCCAUCAUUUUGGUAUUUUGGUACUCCCAGCAACUGGAACCAGCAACAUGGAGGAGCUGCCAUUUCAAGAACUUCUCAAGCUUGGCCUUUGGCUCCUGUUUCAGAAUGCAGGCAGAGCUUCCAUGAGAUGCUGCUGCAACCUCGUCUGUGGGUGUGUCCUCCACACUAGCACAAAGGUUGUCCCAGAUUAGAAGGUGAAAAAAGCAGACAAGGGAAGACAUGUUCUGUGAUUUGAUGCGUUCCUCCGAGACUGAUAGGACUCAGCUGAAUGCAUGGAGGCUUACACUGCUGAAGAGCAUGCGCACCAACCAAGAGGGCAGGAAAGCAUGCAGGGAACAAAAGUGUAACAUGCAAGAGGAGAUGUUGUGGCUUAUGGGGCAGCAAACAGACAUAUUGAGGCAUCUGGUUGAAGUGCAGGAAAGGCAGCUAGACCUUAGAGUUCUACUGCAUCCAGUGAUGAACCAGCUGCCCUCCUCACCAAGUUCCAUAUCCUCCACUC
Dermochelys coriacea (leatherback sea turtle) is the source of this 590-nucleotide long non-coding RNA. RefSeq lists it as uncharacterized. The transcript is spliced from 3 exons. NCBI's taxonomy places the organism in Eukaryota, Metazoa, Chordata, Testudines, Dermochelyidae. The record is from RefSeq and is a predicted model, not a curated record.